AUGGAGUGAGCCAGGGAUCACUUACCCCUGAGACGGUCUACCAGAGGUGGAGGUCCAAGUCAAAUGCAGAAGGACUGCCUCACUGAGCAACCAAGAGUGUCAGUUGUACCCAAGGCAUUUUCAGCAGCAGCAAGUACCUGUGGUGGAUUUCCAGGCUGAACUGAGGCAGGCAUUCUUAGCUGAGACACCAAGAGGUGGUUAA
This is a non-coding RNA of Callithrix jacchus (white-tufted-ear marmoset), 202 nucleotides long. Lineage: Eukaryota; Metazoa; Chordata; Mammalia; Primates; Cebidae. The record is from RefSeq and is a predicted model, not a curated record.